Molecule: ribosomal RNA, 257 nt
Filed under: uncultured bacterium
Lineage: Bacteria
Description: partial 16S ribosomal RNA
Rfam family: Bacterial small subunit ribosomal RNA
Source: RNAcentral
GACGAACCGUGCGAACGUUAUUCGGAAUCACUGGGCUUAAAAGCGCGUGUAGGCGGGACGGCACGUCGGUCGCUGAAAGCCCCCGGCUCAACCGGGGAACGGGCGCCGAUACGACCGUCCUGGAGGGACGUAGGGGGACCUGGAACUUCCGGUGGAGCGGUGAAAUGCGUUGAGAUCGGAAGGAACGCCCGUGGCGAAAGCGAGGUCCUGGACGUUUUUCUGACGGCUGAGACGCGAAAGCCAGGGGAGCGAACGGG